This 74-nucleotide transfer RNA is filed under the name Brooklawnia cerclae. Its description in RNAcentral is "tRNA-Val". It matches the Rfam family "tRNA". Rfam says of the family: Transfer RNA (tRNA) molecules are approximately 80 nucleotides in length. Their secondary structure includes four short double-helical elements and three loops (D, anti-codon, and T loops). Further hydrogen bonds mediate the characteristic L-shaped molecular structure. tRNAs have two regions of fundamental functional importance: the anti-codon, which is responsible for specific mRNA codon recognition, and the 3' end, to which the tRNAs corresponding amino acid is attached (by aminoacyl-tRNA synthetases). tRNAs cope with the degeneracy of the genetic code in two manners: having more than one tRNA (with a specific anti-codon) for a particular amino acid; and 'wobble' base-pairing, i.e. permitting non-standard base-pairing at the 3rd anti-codon position. The record is from RNAcentral. Lineage: Bacteria; Bacillati; Actinomycetota; Actinomycetes; Propionibacteriales; Propionibacteriaceae.
GGGCGCAUAGCUCAGUUGGUUAGAGCACCUGCCUUACAAGCAGGGGGUCGUUGGUUCGAGUCCGACUGCGCCCA